GCGUGGGAACGUGCCUUUCGGUCCGGAAUAACUCAGGGAAACUUGGGCUAAUACUGGAUACGCCCUUCGGGGAAGUGAUUUAUCGCCGAAAGAUCGGCCCGCGUCAGAUUAGCUUGUUGGUGGGGUAAUGGCUCACCAAGGCGACGAUCUGUAGCUGGUCUGAGAGGAUGAUCAGCCACACUGGGACUGAGACACGGCCCAGACUCCUACGGGAGGCAGCAGUGGGGAAUAUUGGACAAUGGGCGCAAGCCUGAUCCAGCCAUGCCGCGUGGGUGAAGAAGGCCCUAGGGUUGUAAACCC
This 300-nucleotide ribosomal RNA is filed under the name uncultured Hyphomicrobiaceae bacterium. RNAcentral's name for it is "bacterial SSU rRNA". It matches the Rfam family "Bacterial small subunit ribosomal RNA", at positions 115 to 432 of the family's 1533-position model. Lineage: Bacteria; Pseudomonadati; Pseudomonadota; Alphaproteobacteria; Hyphomicrobiales; Hyphomicrobiaceae. The record is from RNAcentral.